This 2488-nucleotide unclassified non-coding RNA is filed under the name Hevea brasiliensis (rubber tree). Lineage: Eukaryota; Viridiplantae; Streptophyta; Magnoliopsida; Malpighiales; Euphorbiaceae. The record is from RNAcentral.
ACACACCCAAACAGGUCAGGAACCGAUCUUUCUCCUUCAACAACGGCAGGAAUAUGCGUCGUUUGACGAGUUGCAGACUCACUCUCUCCCUCCUCAUUUUCUCUCUCCUCCCUCUUUCUCUCCUCGCUCGCCCUUUCGUUCUCGUUCUCUCGCAAGAUGAUCUCAAAGAUGCUCCCACCUCCGGUGAAUCCGAUGGGGAUUCCUCCCCCGACUCUCCGCCAGAGUGGGACGAGUUCGGCGACUCCGAUUCCAAGCCCGAGCACGAGCUCGACCCUGGCUCCUGGCGCCCAAUUUUUGAGCCUGAUUCCUCUACUCCUGAUAACACGGAGGACCCGGUGAUGGCGGAGUAUUACUCCGCUGUUCAGAAGAUGCUGGGAGCAGUGAGCGGCGGGGAGGUGAGGAUGAUGGAGGAGGCUUCAGCGGAGAUAGAGGCGGCAGCUGUGGCUGGGGAUCCUCACGCUCAGUCAGUUUUGGGAUUUCUGUACGGGCUAGGGCAGAUGAGGGAGCGGAAUAAGGCGAAGGCGUUUUUAUAUCAUCAUUUUGCGGCUGAAGGAGGUAAUAUGCAAUCCAAGAUGGCUCUGGCAUAUACGUACUCGCGCCAAGAUAUGUAUGAUAAAGCAGUUAAAUUGUAUGCUGAGUUAGCUGAAGUAGCUGUGAAUAGUUUUUUGAUCUCAAAGGAUUCACCUGUGAUUGAACCGGUUAGAAUCCACAAUGGAGCUGAGGAGAACAAGGAGGCUCUGAGGAAGUCGCGAGGGGAGGAGGAUGAAGACUUCCAGAUUUUGGAAUAUCAGGCCCAAAAGGGUAAUGCUGCAGCCAUGUACAAAAUUGGGCUCUUUUACUACUUUGGAUUGAGAGGGAUGAGGCGUGAUCAUGCAAAGGCAUUGGCAUGGUUCUUAAAGGCAGUAAAGAAGGGGGAGCCCAGGUCAAUGGAACUCCUUGGUGAGAUAUAUGCAAGAGGAGCUGGAGUUGAAAGGAAUUAUACUAAAGCACUUGAAUGGCUGACACUUGCAUCAAAGCAGCAACUUUACUCAGCUUAUAAUGGCAUGGGGUAUUUGUAUGUGAAAGGUUAUGGAGUGGAAAAGAAGAACUACACCAAAGCAAAAGAAUACUUUGAGAAAGCUGCUGACAAUGAAGAGGCUGGCGGGCACUACAAUCUCGGAGUAAUGUAUCUUAAAGGGAUUGGGGUAAAGAGAGAUGUGAAGCUGGCUUGCAAAUAUUUUAUAGUGGCUGCUAAUGCAGGUCAACCAAAGGCAUUUUACCAGCUAGCAAAGAUGUUCCAUACGGGUGUGGGACUCAAGAAGGAUCUCAUUAUGGCUUCUGCAUUAUAUAAACUGGUUGCAGAACGGGGUCCUUGGAGUACCUUAUCUAGAUGGGCACUGGAAUCUUACCUAAAAGGUGAUGUAGGCAAGGCAUUCCUACUGUAUUCAAGGAUGGCUGAACUGGGCUAUGAGAUUGCCCAGAGUAAUGCUGCAUGGAUUCUUGACAAAUAUGGGGAGCGUAGCAUGUGCAUGGGAGAAUCUGGAUUUUGUACAGAUGCAGAAAGGCAUCAGCGGGCACAUUCUUUUUGGUGGCAAGCUUCUGAGCAGGGUAAUGAACAUGCUGCUUUGCUGAUUGGUGAUGCAUAUUAUUAUGGUCGGGGUACAGAGAGGGACUAUGAACGAGCUGCAGAGGCUUACAUGCAUGCCAAAUCUCAAUCAAAUGCACAAGCUAUGUUCAACCUUGGAUACAUGCAUGAGCAUGGUCAAGGACUUCCAUUUGAUCUCCAUCUCGCUAAGCGUUACUAUGAUCAAGCCCAAGAGAUCGAUCCUGCAGCAAAGUUGCCUGUUACACUGGCCCUCACAAGCUUGUGGAUACGAAGGAACUAUGCAGACAGUUUCCUGGUCAACUUGAUUGAUUCAUUGCCUGGAGUCUAUCCAAAAAUUGAAGCAUGGGUGGAGAAUGUAAUCAUGGAGGAAGGAAAUGCGACAAUACUGACCCUUUUUGUCUGUCUCCUUACAGUCCUUUAUCUUCGUGAGAGACAGCGCCGGCAUGUUGCUGGUGUUGGUGGUGAGGUUGGUGUACCACCAAACCAGCCAUUUGAACAUGGUGCUCCUGUUGCUGUACCCCGUUAAUUGGUGGUAGUGAUGGUCUGCAGAAACAGCUAGAUUUUUUCCCGUUCUAUAUUUGUGAAAAGGUAAAAUUUAUAACUGCAAUAUAAUGUACAGCCUUCUGAAUCCAAGGGAGAUAGCUGCUUUAUUUUCAGGUACAUCUCACCAUAGAACUACUGAAGUGAGCAGAAAUAAGAAGCAUUUUUUUAACUUUGCAUGCCAGAAAAAUGUACUUAAAAAAGUAGAUCUGUGGAAUGUCUUUUUGUUGUACUAAUUUAACCAUUAAUUUAUUGAGGACACAUGAUUUGAGGCAAGAACUGAAUUGCUCUGCUGAUAAUUACUUUGCAGAACUAUUUAGGGCAAAGAUUUGAUCACAACACCUCUCUCUCUCUCUCUCUCUC